AUGCUAGUAGAAUAUCUUCCAGUUUCAGAAAAUGCAGCAAACUUUAUAAAGGAAAGACUCUAUGAUACAAGCUCAAAAAGGUUGCAUCAUAGUUAUCCCAAUGGCCCAGCAAAUGCACCAGGAUUUUUGCAUGAUUAUGCCUUUUUAAUCAAUGGCUUGUUGGAUCUCUAUCAAUAUGGUGGUUUGUUAGGCUGCAAAGAAAGUUUGAGCAGCAGAGGUGAAGUUGAUGAUUAA
RNAcentral lists this ribosomal RNA (234 nucleotides) under Triticum aestivum (bread wheat). RNAcentral's name for it is "partial small subunit ribosomal RNA". The record is from RNAcentral. Lineage: Eukaryota; Viridiplantae; Streptophyta; Magnoliopsida; Poales; Poaceae.